CAAUUAUCAAUUUUAAAAGAUUUUGGGCGAAAACAUAUUCACUCACGCACACUGCACACAAGACUUGUCUCUCUCUCCCCUCCAUCUCUCUGUAAUAAGUCAAAACUCUCUGACUAACCGAUGAAGAUGUCUUCCAGAUCGCCGGUGUAGAUGCCGAAUGAACAAACUAGGAGAACAGGGAAGAAGACUGCAUCACAAAUUCGGCCACCGAAGUUUUUUCUCUCUGUCUUGCACUCGAUAUAGUCUAUGUGAUGAUGUCCUUCAAAUCACUUGUGAAGAUCGCGAACGAGCAAAUCUAGGAGAACGUGGAAGACGACGGCGUCAGAAAUUUAGUCGACGUAGUUGCAGAAUUCAGGUGAAGAACUUCGAAUCUAAAUUCCAUUUUUAUUUUAAUUUUAAUAUUUAAGGUUUAGGGCAAUACAGUGACCUGAAUGGAGAUCUGUUGAAAUAUGAAGAACCUGAGGUUUUUAUAUCUGAGAAAUUGGAUUUUCUUGUAUGCCCAAUUCUCAUUCUAGAAAUUGAAGAAUUUAUUUCAAGGUUGUGUCUGCACAAUCUGCGUAUGUUAUGUCUAAUUUACAGUUAAUUGAUGGGGUUGUUAUGUGAAGUCCGAUUUACAAUUAAAUUGAUGGAGUUGUUGAUGGUGAAAUGCAUGCGUUGAGAAAGAUACCGUGUUUUUUUCCCAUAUCAUUACAGUUCAGCUUGUAGAGUGGAAAAAUUGCAACGUUAUUCAUCCUGUCAAUUUAUGAUGAACCAGUAGUUUUUUUGUGAAUGAAUCAGUAUUGUUGAUGGCUAGGAGGAACACAGGAAUUUGUCAUUCUUGCUGGGGGCAGAACACAUGAUGCCAGAAUGCUCCAAAAAGAAGAGAUGCCCAAACUGUGGAGAUGGGUUCGUUAGAUGGUUGGAGGUAGAAAAAAAUUCCAAGAAUCAAGGAAAGUUGUUCCAUUCCUGUACUCACGACUGUGGGUUCUUCAAGUUUUGUAACGUUUCGCCCGAUGAAGAGUAUCCAUUGCAAGGCGAAUCAAGUGGCACAACCGAAGGAAGUGAAUCGGUCCCUGAGUUGUCCCGUAUGUUUGAAAGUAUGUGCAAAAAUAACCAUGGAGUGAGAUGUGGAGAUUCGCGAAAUAUAACCAUGCGCAAGGAUAAACGUGUUUCAAAUUAUUUAAUCUGAAGUCCAUGUAAUUAGAUGAUUUCAACUUCUUUAGCUUUAAGUUUGUUUUACAUGUAUUUGGAUGAUUUUGACUUCGUUGGGUUUAAGUCUGAUUUACCUGUAUUUGGAUGAUUUUGACUUCAACAUCUAAUUGCCGCUUAUUGAUCCCAUAACUAUUGGCUUUGAAUUGGUUAGUGACAAUUGUUGUCUCUUGCGUAUAUUUGAAUGAAGCAAAGUUGUUGUGUACUUGUGAGUUGGCU
RNAcentral lists this long non-coding RNA (1407 nucleotides) under Olea europaea subsp. europaea. Lineage: Eukaryota; Viridiplantae; Streptophyta; Magnoliopsida; Lamiales; Oleaceae. The record is from RNAcentral.